Molecule: transfer RNA, 96 nt
Filed under: Pyrinomonadaceae bacterium
Lineage: Bacteria; Pseudomonadati; Acidobacteriota; Blastocatellia; Blastocatellales; Pyrinomonadaceae
Description: tRNA-Ala
Source: RNAcentral
UCGUCGUGGCAUCUCAGGCCGAGGUAUCGCCAUUGGCGGUGGCGGAUUGGGAGUGAUCAUCAUUGCCCUUGCAGUUCUGCUCUGCGGCGGCGACCC